RNAcentral lists this ribosomal RNA (253 nucleotides) under uncultured bacterium. RNAcentral describes it as "partial 16S ribosomal RNA". It matches the Rfam family "Bacterial small subunit ribosomal RNA", at positions 524 to 776 of the family's 1533-position model. The record is from RNAcentral.
GACAGAGGGUGCAAACGUUGUUCGGAAUUACUAGGCGUAAAGCGCGUGUAGGCGGCUUCGCAAGUCGGGUGUGAAAUCCCACGGCUCAACCGUGGAAGUGCAUUCGAAACUGCGAGGCUAGAGUCCUGGAGAGGAAGGUGGAAUGCUUGGUGUAGAGGUGAAAUUCGUAGAUAUCAAGCGGAACACCGGUGGCGAAGGCGGCCUUCUGGACAGUGACUGACGCUGAGACGCGAAAGCGUGGGGAGCAAACAGG